GACGAACGCUGGCGGCGUGCUUAACACAUGCAAGUCGAACGGAAAGGCCUCUUUCGGGGGGUACUCGAGUGGCGAACGGGUGAGUAACACGUGAGUAACCUGCCCUUGACUUUGGGAUAACUUCAGGAAACUGGGGCUAAUACCGGAUAGGAGCUCCUGCUGCAUGGUGGGGGUUGGAAAGUUUCGGCGGUUGGGGGUGGAGUCGCGGCUUAUCAGCUUGUUGGUGGGGUAGUGGCUUACCAAGGCUUUGACGGGUAGCCGGCCUGAGAGGGUGACCGGCCACAUUGGGACUGAGAUACGGCCCAGACGCCUACGGGAGGAAGAAGUGGGGAAUAUUGCACAAUGGGUGGAAGCCUGAUGCAGCAACGCCGUGUGCGGGAUGACGGCCUUCGGGUUGUAAAACGCUUUCGCUCAUGACGAAGCUUUGUGUGACGGUAGUGGGUAAAGAAGCACCGGCUAACUACGUG
RNAcentral lists this ribosomal RNA (467 nucleotides) under uncultured bacterium. RNAcentral describes it as "partial 16S ribosomal RNA". It matches the Rfam family "Bacterial small subunit ribosomal RNA", at positions 28 to 507 of the family's 1533-position model. The record is from RNAcentral.